GACGAACGCUGGCGGCGUGCCUAACACAUGCAAGUCGAGCGGGGUUGAGGCGAGAGGUAACUCGAGCUUCUACCUAGCGGCAGACGGGUGAGUAACGCGUGGGCAACCUGCCUCAAGGUUUGGGAUAACAGCCCGAAAGGGCUGCUAAUACCGGAUAUGCCUAUGGCCUCGCAUGGGGCUAUGAGCAAAGGGGAAACCCGCCUUGAGAUGGGCCCGCGUCCCAUCAGCUAGUUGGUGAGGUAACAGCUCACCAAGGCGACGACGGGUAGCCGGCCUGAGAGGGUGACCGGCCACACUGGGACUGAGACACGGCCCAGACUCCUACGGGGGGCAGCAGUGGGGGAUCUUGCACAAUGGGCGAAAGCCUGAUGCAGCGACGCCGCGUGGAGGACGAAGCCCUUCGGGGUGUAAACUCCUUUUCUCAGGGAAAAAGGAUGAUGGUACCUGAGGAAUAAGCCCCGGCUAACUACGUG
Molecule: ribosomal RNA, 473 nt
Filed under: uncultured bacterium
Lineage: Bacteria
Description: bacterial SSU rRNA
Rfam family: Bacterial small subunit ribosomal RNA
Source: RNAcentral